AUGAGUUCUUCGUACCAUCCGCAGACGGAUGGGCAGACGGAGCAGGUGAACCAAUGCCUAGAGACAUAUCUGCGAUGUGCGGUUCACGCAUGCCCAGCCAACUGGGCGAAAUGGUUAGCGCUCAGGGAAUUCUGGUAUAAUACCUCAUUUCACUCAUCACUGGGCAGAGCCCCAUUUGAAGUCAUAUAUGGGCACCUGCCUCGCUAG
Molecule: ribosomal RNA, 207 nt
Filed under: Triticum aestivum (bread wheat)
Lineage: Eukaryota; Viridiplantae; Streptophyta; Magnoliopsida; Poales; Poaceae
Description: partial small subunit ribosomal RNA
Source: RNAcentral